This 492-nucleotide ribosomal RNA is filed under the name uncultured bacterium. RNAcentral's name for it is "partial 16S ribosomal RNA". It matches the Rfam family "Bacterial small subunit ribosomal RNA", at positions 29 to 507 of the family's 1533-position model. The record is from RNAcentral.
AGUGAACGCUGGCGGUAGGCCUAACACAUGCAAGACGAACGGCAGCACAGUAAGAGCUUGCUCUUACGGGUGGCGAGUGGCGGACGGGUGAGGAAUACAUCGGAAUCUACUUUUUCGUGGGGGAUAACGUAGGGAAACUUACGCUAAUACCGCAUACGACCUACGGGUGAAAGCAGGGGAUCUUCGGACCUUGCGCGAUUGAAUGAGCCGAUGUCGGAUUAGCUAGUUGGCGGGGUAAAGGCCCACCAAGGCGACGAUCCGUAGCUGGUCUGAGAGGAUGAUCAGCCACACUGGAACUGAGAAAAGGUCCAGACUCCUACGGGAGGCAGCAGUGGGGAAUAUUGGACAAUGGGCGCAAGCCUGAUCAAGCCAUACCGCGUGGGUGAAGAAGGCCUUCGGGUUGUAAAGCCCUUUUGUUGGGAAAGAAAAGCAGCAGGUUAAUACCCCGAUGUUCUGACGGUACCCAAAGAAUAAGCACCGGCUAACUUCGUG